Carassius auratus (goldfish) is the source of this 1660-nucleotide long non-coding RNA. NCBI's taxonomy places the organism in Eukaryota, Metazoa, Chordata, Actinopteri, Cypriniformes, Cyprinidae. The record is from Ensembl.
UUAUUGAUCAGAUGUGUAUGUAUUCAGUCGUUCAGCUGAAUGUGUUGUCUCUCUCGUGUUCAGAUCAGUGGUGGUGGAUUUCUGUCCUUAUUCUCAUUGUUCUUCUGGUUUUGAUCUGUUUCUUGCUGCGGAGAAGGAUCUUCAGGUGUUUUCAGAAGGAAGAGCAGUCCAACGGUCAGCGUGAAGCUCCAGACAACAGGGAUCUGGAAACGGUCUGAUCUGAUGAUCCUCACACACUGCAGGAAUCGUUCCUGGGAAUCAGUUUUCAGAUCCUGAUCACCAUCUGAUGGUUUGAAUCAGUUUCACGGUCAUUUUAUUCUCUGUUCAGACAGAGAAGACAGAGAAGCAGUGAUGUUAUGCUGCGUGUGGCUUUAUUUAAAGACAGUAACUCUGUAGUUGCUGAUGCAGUGAUAGUUACAUUAACUCUUAUGAGCUGAUGUUUAACCUCAAUGAGAAGGAUGCAGCUGUUGGAAGAAGACUCCGCCCCUCACACCCCGGACCGAAGAAGACUCCGCCUCAUACCUGGACCCUUCCUUCCUGAACACUGCCCCACCAUGAACACCAGAAGGACACCAGAUUCUCUUUAUUAUUGACACUCUUCCCCGUUGGACACUUAUUCGCUCUUUUGGUUGAUUUUCUGUUAAUAAAAGCCUCUCGAGCCCUGAUGCCUUCCCCAAUGUGUCUGUCGUUUGCUCCUGUUUGGCACCUUGUGCUGCCAUGCUUUUGACAGGGUUUUUUAUGUCCAUUUUUUUGUUAUACACAUAAUAUGAGAAAAAUAAAUUCUAUAUUUUGUCUGCCAUAAUCUAUGCAUAAAGAUUUUAGUUGCCAUGAAACAGGAGCUGGAGAUUUGCAUAGCAUUCAGUUCCACCGCUCCCUGCACGCAGAGUAUGCAGUUUGCGUAGGGCACCAACUCCUGGGGGGCACCACCUUGCUCAAAAAAAAUUAAAUAAUUGGGGGCAGUGCCACCCCUGACCCCACAUGGACACGCCCCUGUUGCCCGUCUCUCAAGUAUUAUAUAAACACAUAAGCAUAAUUUUAUUUAUACAGCUGUUACACUAUGCACAAAUCUAUUGAUAAAUCUUAUGUUAUAGAUUUUACUUAAUUUAUUUCUAGCUUGCAGCAUUACUUACAGACUUUAAUGAGCUAUUUUUUUUGGUUUCUUUUUCUCAUUCAGAAAUGGUUUUUAAUGUUGUUUAUUCACUAGAUGCUGUUUUAUAACAAAGUUCGGGAGGAGCAGUUCACCUGAUUAACACAAGUGGAGACCAAUCAGUAAUCAACUCAUGACAAGGUAUAAAUAACAGCAGAACCUACCUCUGUUCAUUGACAGGUUUCAGCAUCCCGGUUCGCUCUGUCUAUCAUCUUAUCACAGACCCAAUUUUCCUUCCAGCAAGGAGAUCCAUACCGGGGAUUUUUCAGAUCUGCUAUUUUUGCUGACAUCUAUGAUCAUUAAACACGGCCAUUGAGCACCAUCAAACGUCAUCUCAACAGCUGCUCUUCUUGCCAAGCCACACGUCGUGGCCAAUAGACCGUGCAAAGCCCGAGCUCGCCUCUCUUGACACCACGAUUGAUCCGAUGAAGACCGGGCUCUCUUUGAGCGCUGGAAUCGCAGCACCAGCAGGCAUUCAACCAGCCCGCUCCUCAGUUCUUACUGCAGCAGAAA